This 474-nucleotide ribosomal RNA is filed under the name uncultured bacterium. RNAcentral's name for it is "bacterial SSU rRNA". It matches the Rfam family "Bacterial small subunit ribosomal RNA", at positions 17 to 507 of the family's 1533-position model. The record is from RNAcentral.
UCAUGGCUCAGAACAAACGCUGGCGGCGUGCCUAAUACAUGCAAGUCGAACGGGGAAAGUAGCAAUACGAGUACUAGUGGCGCACGGGUGAGGAAUACAUGGGUAAUCUGCCCUCGAGCUCGGGAUAACCAGUCGAAAGACUGGCUAAUACCGGAUAUGACCACAAGAUCUGAGGAUCAAGGGGUAAAAGGUUUUUCGCUUGAGGAUGAGCCCAUGUGGGAUUAGCUAGUUGGUGUAGGUAACGGCUCACCAAGGCGACGAUCCCUAACUGGUCUUAGAGGAUGAUCAGUCACACUGGAACUGAGACACGGUCCAGACUCCUACGGGAGGCAGCAGUAGGGAAUAUUGCACAAUGGAGGAAACUCUGAUGCAGCGACGCCGCGUGAGUGAUGAAGGCCUUCGGGUCGUAAAGCUCUGUCGUAUGGGACUAACAAAAUGAAGGUACCAUGCAAGAAAGGAUCGGCUAACUUCGUG